GAGGAGAUGAUAAUUGACUGCAAAGUGACACAGAUUGGCUGGCAGAGUGGGUAGAAGGUGGUUAAGGACCAGACACACUGGUGUGUAUGGAGACACACGAAGAGCAAAUCAGGGCGGGAAGAGCAGCCAGCACAGAGUACACAAGCUUUCCAUCGUCUUUAUCCAAACUUCAGAAGACUUACUCUGAUCACAUUCCGUGAAGAAUUUUUAUCAUCCACGUUCACGCUCAGAGAGAAGAAAGCCGCUGUGCUGUACACUCCUUGAGAUUUAUACAAAAGUUCGCCAAAAUUCCACUCCGCGCUG
This is a long non-coding RNA of Hypanus sabinus (Atlantic stingray), 303 nucleotides long. RefSeq lists it as uncharacterized. Lineage: Eukaryota; Metazoa; Chordata; Chondrichthyes; Myliobatiformes; Dasyatidae. The record is from RefSeq and is a predicted model, not a curated record. The transcript has 3 exons.